This is a long non-coding RNA of Dendrobium catenatum, 193 nucleotides long. RefSeq lists it as uncharacterized. The transcript is spliced from 3 exons. Lineage: Eukaryota; Viridiplantae; Streptophyta; Magnoliopsida; Asparagales; Orchidaceae. The record is from RefSeq and is a predicted model, not a curated record.
AUUGCAGGAUCCUCAGGUGGCUAACAGAUGAGGAAGAUAAAGUAAGAGAUAACGGCCUACCACAAAUCAAAUUCUUGAUUGUUGAAAUGUCUCCGGUCACUGACAUUGACACCACUGGGAUCCAUGCCCUUGAGGAGCUGCACAAGAGCUUGAAAAAGAAAGAUAUAGAGCUUAUUAUUGCAAAUCCCGGGCC